Molecule: long non-coding RNA, 7457 nt
Filed under: Malus domestica (apple)
Lineage: Eukaryota; Viridiplantae; Streptophyta; Magnoliopsida; Rosales; Rosaceae
Description: long non-coding RNA (MDOM_LNC016134)
Source: RNAcentral
GUUGGCUCACGAGGUCCUUUCCGGCUUUCUGACAGAUUUGGGACAUGUAGGACUCACCUGAGGGUGAUGUAUUCUUAUUUUAGUCCUACUUGACUGCAGUUAACCUAUGCUCUGAACUUAUGUGUUUACUUGUAACUCGUCCGGUUAUGUCCGUAUGUGGUUAUGUUGAGUUUGGGUUGAAUUUCUGUUGUUAUAUGUUGUUAUUACGCUUCCGUGUCGUGCUUAUGGUUACGUCACGCCCACGUGACGGCCAGCACACCUGGAUCCUCCGGAUCAGGGUGUGUCAGUUUGGUAUCAGAGAGCUUAGGUUGCAGUCCUGUAAAAUUGUUAAUGUCUUAACGAUCUUUUGAUGUUUUCUGUCAGAAUCAUGCCGCCUCGUAGAGAGCGUAGGGAGUCCCGCCGUACUCCUGAACCUAAUUUCCCGGAUAUUACUCAGUUAGGGGAAGCGAUGGCCCAGGCUUUACAGAAUGUGAUUCGUCCUCCCCCUCCUCCGAGGACACCUCUGGAGACCAUGUACAACUUGAAGUUAGAUCGGUUUAUGGGUAAUGAAAGUCAUGAGGGGGCAGAGAAAUGGCUAGAUCAUAUUGAGAAAACCUUCCAGGUGAUGCAGAGUCAGGGGAAUCUCCCUGCUAAUAGGUGGGUGGAGACCACCACUUGGUUUCUGGGUCGUGAACCAGCAGCAUGGUGGAUAAAUCAGGCUAGGUACAUGUCACCUGAGACGGCAGCCAACUGGAAAGUAUUCAAGGAGCAUUUUAUGAAGAGAUUCGUUCCUCCUGAGUAUAUUGACCGUAAGAAGCAGGAAUUCACCAGGUUGAAACAGAGAAAUAUGUCGGCACAUGAAUAUUAUAGAAAGUUUACUGAUUUGUCUCGUUAUGACACUGAUAUAGCUGGUAAUCAGGGAGAGAUGCUUCGACGUUUCAAGUUGGGAUCUAAGAAGAAGUGGCGUACCUUUGCCAAUGCACUUCCCUGCGCUGAUUAUCAUGAGUAUUUCGAGAUUUUGGUUAGGAUGGAGGACUCUGAUAAUCUUCCUGACAGUGAGGAUGACGAGGACAAGAAUGAGGGUCAGAAGAAGAAUGAUAAGGGUAAGGGUAUUUCUAUUCCUGGACCUCGACAGACACAGAGUUUUAAGAAGAGUGGAGCGAGUUCGAGUUCUUCUAGUGGGGGAUAUAGUUUUACUGGCCCGAGGAGAGGUGGUGGAAGAUUUUCUGGUGGUGGACCCAGAUUUCAGGGUCAGAGGGAUGCUGGUGGAUCUGGCGCUCCAUGGUGCCGCCGUUGUAACUCCCGUCACCAUGGUGAGUGUAGGAGAGGUUCUGGUGCUUGUUUUACGUGUGGGCAGAUGGGACAUCGGGCUUCUCAGUGCCCCCAGGGUCAGCAGAGACCGCAACAGACUAAUAUGCCACCUCCAGCACCAGUUCAGCAGAGUUUUGGACCGGGUGGUUAUGGCCAGCCGAAUCGUGGUGGUGCUUACCACUAUCAGGGGGAUGCGGCUCCGUAUGCUUCCGGACCUUAUCAGUAUUCUCAGGAGCCUUAUCCUCAGGCAGGGUAUUCUCAGGAUUUUGGAGGUUAUUCUUCUUAUUCCUCUAUGCCAGCUGGUGGAUCGCAGUGGCAUCAGGGAGGCCAGCCCCGUCAGGGGGAAGUUGCUACGGGUGGUGCAGGAUCAUCCAGGCAGCUUAGUCAGCCAGGUCAGGGGCGUAAUCCUCAGGGACGAGGUAAUCAGGGCAAUAGAGGCCGAGGUGGACGACAGCAGGCUCAGGGGCGAAUUAAUCAUAUUUCUUUGCAGGAGGCUCAGAACCAUCCAGACUUGAUUAUGGGUACGUUGAAUGUUCUUGGUCAUUUUGCUAAGGUUUUGAUUGAUUGUGGUGCUACGCACUCUGUGAUUUCUCAUACGUUUGCUCAAAUAACCCAACCUCACCCUUCACCUCUAGGAUUUGAUUUAGAGUUUGCCAUGCCUAGAGGAGAUAAAUGUUAUGUGGAUAGUGUGUAUCUGGGGUGUCCAGUGAUGGUUGAGGGCGUGAUUAUGUCCGCUGAUCUUAUUCCGUUAGAUAUUGUGGAUUUUGAUGUAAUUUUAGGGGCCGAUUGGUUACACCAUAAUCGUGCCCAUAUUGAUUGUUAUGGUAAAUCAGUUACUUUUUAUCGUCCUGGAUUACCCGAGGUUACUUUUGUGGGCGAGAGAAGUGGGGUGAGACAUGGAGUUAUUUCUGCCAUGAGGGCGAGGAAAUUAUUAUCAAAGGGUUGUCAGGGAUAUUUGGCACAUGUGGUAUUAAAUGAUGUUGCUCCUACUAGUAUAGAAGAAGUUGGUGUGGUCAGACAUUAUCCGGAUGUAUUCCCUGAUGAUUUGCCGGGAUUACCACCAGACAGGGAGGUGGAAUUCUCUAUUGAUUUGCUUCCAGGUACGGACCCUAUAUCUCUGACUCCUUAUAGAAUGGCUCCUGCUGAGUUAAGGGAAUUAAAAAUCCAGUUGCAAGAAUUACUUGAUAAAGGUUUUAUUCAACCUAGUUCUUCACCUUGGGGUGCCCCAGUAUUAUUUGUGAAGAAGAAGGAUGGAACUCUUCGAUUGUGUAUUGAUUAUAGACAAUUGAACCGGGUAACGAUUAAAAACCGUUAUCCAUUGCCCCGCAUUGAUGAUUUGUUUGAUCAGCUGAAAGGUGCGUGUGUAUUUUCUAAGAUUGAUUUGAGAUCCGGGUAUUAUCAAUUGAAGAUUAAAGAAGACGAUGUACCUAAGACGGCUUUCCGAACUCGGUACGGACAUUAUGAAUUUUCGGUUAUGCCGUUUGGGUUGACUAAUGCACCUGCAGCUUUUAUGAGAUUAAUGAAUGAGGUAUUCCAGAAAUAUCUUGAUAAAUUUGUUAUUGUUUUUUUAUUGAUGAUAUUCUGGUAUACUCUAAGUCCCAAGCAGAUCAUAUCCGACACCUUAAUUUGGUGUUAAGGAAAUUAAGGGAGCAUCAGUUGUAUGCCAAGUUCAGUAAAUGUCAGUUUUGGUUGACUGAAGUGGCAUUUUUGGGGCAUGUUGUAUCAGCUCAAGGUAUUCAAGUUGAUCCUCAAAAGAUUGCAGCAGUGGAGAAUUGGGAGCAACCUCGGACCGUCACGGAGGUACGAAGUUUUCUUGGCUUAGCAGGUUAUUAUCGACGGUUCGUUCAGGAUUUCUCUAUGAUUGCUUUACCGUUGACAAAGUUGACCAGGAAGGAUGUUAAAUUUGAGUGGGAUGAGAAUUGUGAGCGGAGUUUUCAACAAUUGAAGUAUUGCCUCACUCAUGCACCGGUGUUGGUACUUCCCGACGAUAGCGGUAAUUUUGAGAUAUAUAGUGAUGCUUCAUUAAAUGGUUUGGGAUGUGUUUUUGAUGCAGCAUAAUAAGGUGAUUGCCUAUGCUUCUAGGCAGUUGAAAAAUCAUGAAAGGAACUAUCCUACUCACGAUCUUGAAUUGGCAGCAAUUGUUUUUUGCUUUGAAAAUUUGGAGGCAUUACUUGUAUGGUGAGAAGUGUAAGAUCUUCACUGAUCACAAGAGUCUUCAGUAUUUGUUUACUCAGCAUGAUCUUAAUCUUCGUCAGCGAAGGUGGAUGGAAUUGUUAAGUGAUUAUGAUUGUUCUAUUGAAUACCAUCCAGGUCGUGCUAAUGUAGUAGCGGAUGCACUGAGUAGGAAACCUCAAGGUAGGCUUAAUGCCUUAUAUGCGAGUCGUGUUCCUCUUCUUGCUGAAUUGAGGACAACGGGGGUAAGGUUGGAAAUUGAAGACCGAGAUGGAGCUUUUCUUGCUAGUUUUCAAGUCAGGCCAGUUUUGGUGGACCGUAUACUUGCAGCUCAGAUGGUGAAUGAGGAAGUUCAGGAGUUGGUUCAGUUAAGAAGUGAAGGGAAAAAGAAAGACCUCAGAAUUCGGGAAUCAGAUGGUAUGCUCAUGCAAGAAGACAGAAUGUAUGUUCCGAAUAAUGAGGAAUUGAAGAAGGAAAUUCUGGAUGAAGCACAUUGUUCAGCUUAUGCGAUGCAUCCGGGAGGAACAAAAAUGUAUCAUACCAUUCGACCAUUUUAUUAUUGGCCGGGUAUGAAAAGAGAAAUUGCAGAAUAUGUGAGCAGGUGUAUUAUUUGCCAGCAAGUGAAAGCAGAAAGGAAGAAGCCCUUUGGGCGAAUGCAACCCCUUCCUGUUCCCCAGUGGAAAUGGGAAAAUAUAACAAUGGAUUUCGUGUAUAAACUUCCUCGUACGCGAAAUGGAUUUGAUGGUAUUUGGGUGAUUGUGGAUCGACUCACCAAGUCUGCGCAUUUCAUUCCUGUGAGGGAGAAAUACCCUCUGAAUAAAUUGGCUAAGUUGUUUAUUUCGAAGAUUGUCAAGUAUCAUGGAGUCCCAGUAAAUAUUAUCUCCGAUCGAGACCCGAGGUUUACUUCUAAAUUUUGGGUGGCUUUUCAGGAAGCUCUGGGUACUCAAUUACUGUAUAGCACAGCUUAUCAUCCUCAAACUGAUGGGCAAUCAGAGAGGACCAUUCAGACGUUGGAGGAUAUGUUGAGAUCUUCAGUACUGCAAUUUGGUGAUUCUUGGCAUGAUCGUCUGGACUUAAUGGAGUUUGCUUAUAAUAACAGUUUUCACUCGAGCAUUGGUAUGUCCCCAUUCGAGGCACUUUAUGGUAGGGCGUGUCGAACGCCAUUAUGUUGGUCUGAGGUUGGUGAACGGGUAUUAGAAGGCCCUGAGAUCGUGGACGAGACGACUCAAAAUGUUCAGGUAAUUAAGUCAAACCUGAAAGCAGCCCAGGAUCGACAUAAGAGUUUAGCGGAUCGGCAUACUACUGAUCGAGUGUAUGAUGUGGGUGAUUGGGUAUUCUUGAAAUUGUCGCCUUGGAGAGGUGUGGUACGAUUUGGGAAAAGAGGAAAGCUAAGUCCGAGAUAUAUUGGACCUUAUGUGAUCAUUGAAAGAGUUGGUGAAGUUGCCUACCGGUUGGAACUGCCUCCGGAGUUAUCUAAGGUCCAUAAUGUGUUCCAUGUCUCUAUGCUUCGGCAUUAUAUUUCUGAUCCUUCUCAUGUGAUCCCUCCUCAACCGUUAGAGAUUAAUCCGGAUUUGACGUAUGAUGAGGAACCGGUCACUAUCUUGGAUUGGAAAGAUAAGGUUCUGAGGAACAAGACGGUGAGUUUGGUAAAGGUAUUGUGGAUGAACCAUUCUGCAGAGGAAGCCACCUGGGAGACGGAAGAUCGGAUGAGAGAGAUGUACCCAAGGUUAUUUUAUGGGUACUAAGUGGUUAUUUGAUUGUGGGAAUUUCGGGGACGAAAUUCUAUAAGGAGGGGAGAUUGUCACAGCCCGUCCCGGGAUUUCUAUAUCGGGGGCGUGAAUUGACGUAACUACCCUUGACGGACAUUCGGGUACGUGUGUGUGCGACAUUAUUGAAUUAAUUUUGUAAGUUUUGGGAUUUUAAUUUUGGAAUUUGGAAAUUUUUGUGGUUAGGGAAUUGGAUGGAUGGUGAGGAUUGUGUUGGACCACACAAUCACACACACACGCACUCCCUGUCUUCUCUCUCCCUCCCGUAGCUCUCUCUGUCCCUCUCCCUCACGAUCUCUCUCUUUCCCCUCACCCUAUACGUACGGCCUUCACCCAAAACCCUUCAAAACUCGACGGAUCGAGGCAAAUAAGGUAUGCAUCUUCAUCCUUUCGUCGUCCUGAGUUCAUUGGUGCUAGUUUUAGGAAGUGAAACCUUCGAUUUCACAUAGAUCCCGAACCUUCAUUUUUGAGGUACUGUUCAUGCGAACGUAAAAUGUUGUGUUUCAGGAGAUUUCAAGCUUGUGGUGAGCUUUAGGAGGUUCUAAGGAAGCUCGGGGACGUUCGUUGGAGAGUUUUGGACGUCGGGAUCGUAGGUUUCAAGUUUGGCCGAAUCUUUGGUUUUUGCAAGGUGAGAUUUCGUAGUUUUUAGGCCCUAAAACAAGUCCAACGUGAUUGUACACUCUUAGGGCUUCAAUUUGGUAUAAAAUACGAAGAAAAUGGGUGAAAAACGAAGGAGAAUAGUGAGUUUGAAAAUCGGCCGGAGUUCGGCCGGAGUCCGGCCACCGGAGAACCAGUCCGGCGAGGCCCUGCGAAGAAGACGACACGUGCGCUGCACGUGCUGCGCGUGGCCAGCGCGUGGACCCGUGCCACGUGUGGCGCGUGGGGGCGCGUGGGGCUUCCAAAAAUUUUUUCUAAAAAUUUCCCGACGCUCGUGACGUCGAGUAGGUCGAUGUGGUAUAUGCAUAUACCAAAAUUGAGCAUCGUAUGAGAAGUUAUUUCGAAUUAUUGGUGAUAUGCUUAAAAUUAAUGUUUUUAUAGUUGUUUCGCAUAUAGGUGAGACGUAUCCCGAGGACGACCGCAUCCAGGGACGCCACGGGGGUUACGACCCGUCGACUUAUCAGUGAGUGGGCAGUUUUGUUUUCGUAUUACCUAUAUACUAUUGUUUUUCCCAGAAAAAUGCUUUUAUGCGAAAUUAUGUUUUUGAAAAUGUCAUGCAUAGAAUUAUUUGGAAAAUGUGAAUUUCAUAUGAGUUAUAUGAUUGAUAUAUGAUGCAUACAUGUUGCAUGGUGCUGUGUGAGGCACAGGUAAGUCAGGUGAGUUCGUUUAUUCAUUGAAUUGUUGUUGUUGAGAUGUUUGAGCUCAUAAUCUGCACCCUAGGUGUUAGUGCUUAUAUUAUUCACCACACCGCACGCUCGCCUUGGAUCCAAGUAGGUGGAUGUCGUACAGACCAUGUGAGGGUUCCGACAUGCUAGUCGUACAGAUCACUAGGCGUGAUUCCGACUAGUGGGUGACCUUAGUUAUGCGCGCUGAUGAUAUGAUGAGAGAAGCACUAGAGCGUAUUUUUACACCUUUCAUCGUAUAGACUACCUUACGUAGUUCCGAGUGAUGUGCAGAGUAGGGCCGUAUAGGUCACUGUGGUGACUCCGGCUUAGUGGGAUUUGAGCUAUUGAAUUAAUCGUAUAGGACCAACUGCAGGGUCUCCGAUUGAUUCCUUAUUCACCUGAUUUAUAUUUUUAUUUAUGUCAUGGCAUGUUUUCUUGAAAAUGUUAAAGAUUUGAGAUUUAAAUGUUGAGAUUUUAUAUGGUUAUAUAAUUUCUGGGAAAGUAUACAGGUUUUUACGGCGAGGGGAUAUAACUGUUUUAAUGAAAUGUUUUGGAAAACUAAUUUGUUUUACUGACCCACUCAUUUUGUUUUGCGCCCCUCCAGGUUCUAGUUUAACGGUGGUUGGCUCACGAGGUCCUUUCCGGCUUUCUGACAGAUUUGGGACAUGUAGGACUCACCUGAGGGUGAUGUAUUCUUAUUUUAGUCCUACUUGACUGCAGUUAACCUAUGCUCUGAACUUAUGUGUUUACUUGUAACUCGUCCGGUUAUGUCCGUAUGUGGUUAUGUUGAGUUUGGGUUGAAUUUCUGUUGUUAUAUGUUGUUAUUACGCUUCCGUGUCGUGCUUAUGGUUACGUCACGCCCACGUGACGGCCAGCACACCUGGAUCCUCCGGAUCAGGGUGUGUCA